UUCGAUCUUACCACCUCUCUUUUCUUGUGUAACCAUUUGGUUUUCGAAACUUAUUGAUUGUCUGAUCUGGAUUCACACCGUAGAAAACCAGCCAUGGAUUUUUAGUGCUAUUUACUAAAUAGGACUAAAUUUUGAUCAGGACUCAAUCCUGAGACUCUGGUUAAUAGUGAACAGAACUUUUACCAUUCUACUUCAUCCCAUGUGGUAUUUGUACAAAAAUUUAAUGUGAAUUGAAGUGAUAUGUGCUUAAGCUUAGAUCUUUAGAACAUCCAGAGUGUCAUGAAUCGCUUUAAAUCUUAGUGGUUUGAAAAUUUUGAUCUACUGGUCCUCAGAAGUGGUACCUAGCCUUACUACAGUACCUAAUGUUAUUUCACAGGUGUCUGGAGAGGGUAUAGGAUGGUAGAGUCAUAGAGGGGUUAUUUCCGAUAGACAGUCAGAACCAAGACUCUCUUAACUUACUAUGGUCAAGUAAUUAAAUGAAUGAAGUAGGAUUAUAUAUAAAUGAACCUUGGUCAAAUGAUAAAUUUUAUGUAAAUAAUCAUGGACUUAUUAAGUUGAUGCUAAUACUUGGUGCUGAUAAGUAUUUUUCCUCUAAUAAUGCUACAUGAUAGCAAUCAUAUUCGUAUAUGUAUGUUCUCCAAAGACAGUUACCAAAUUGUAUGUAAACAAUUUCGCCUACACUAACUGUAAUUAUUCAGAUGAUCAGGGCAUGAAGCGGUAUAAGCUUUUGAAACUUAAAUUGUAGUAUUCUUACAUGUUAAAAGUCCUUGUUAGAAACUUCAACGUUACACGAUUAAUCAUUAUAGGAAGAUGCUGGCACCAAGGACAGAGUAUGUAGAAGCUCG
RNAcentral lists this long non-coding RNA (845 nucleotides) under Solanum tuberosum (potato). RNAcentral describes it as "long non-coding RNA (STUB_LNC005925)". Lineage: Eukaryota; Viridiplantae; Streptophyta; Magnoliopsida; Solanales; Solanaceae. The record is from RNAcentral.